GAUGAACGCUGGCGGCGUGCCUAAUACAUGCAAGUCGAGCGAACAGAUGAGGAGCUUGCUCCUCUGACGUUAGCGGCGGACGGGUGAGUAACACGUGGAUAACCUACCUAUAAGACUGGGAUAACUUCGGGAAACCGGAGCUAAUACCGGAUAAUAUAUUGAACAGCAUGGUUCAAUAGUGAAAGACGGUUUUGCUGUCACUUAUAGAUGGAUCCGCGCCGCAUUAGCUAGUUGGUAAGGUAACGGCUUACCAAGGCGACGAUGCGUAGCCGACCUGAGAGGGUGAUCGGCCACACUGGAACUGAGACACGGUCCAGACUCCUACGGGAGGCAGCAGUAGGGAAUCUUCCGCAAUGGGCGAAAGCCUGACGGAGCAACGCCGCGUGAGUGAUGAAGGUCUUCGGAUCGUAAAACUCUGUUAUUAGGGAAGAACAAAUGUGUAAGUAACUAUGCACGUCUUGACGGUACCUAAUCAGAAAGCCACGGCUAACUACGUG
RNAcentral lists this ribosomal RNA (497 nucleotides) under uncultured bacterium. Its description in RNAcentral is "partial 16S ribosomal RNA". It matches the Rfam family "Bacterial small subunit ribosomal RNA", at positions 28 to 507 of the family's 1533-position model. The record is from RNAcentral.